UACAGAGGGUGCAAGCGUUAUUCGGAAUUAUUGGGCGUAAAGGGCGCGUAGGCGGCUUUGCAAGUGGCGGGUGAAAGCCCUCGGCUUAACCGAGGAACUGCCUGUCAGACUGUGAGGCUUGAGAGCGGGAGAGGUGAGUGGAAUUCCCAGUGUAGCGGUGAAAUGCGUAGAUAUUGGGAGGAACACCAGUGGCGAAGGCGGCUCACUGGACCGGAACUGACGCUGAGGCGCGAAAGCGUGGGGAGCAAACAGG
Molecule: ribosomal RNA, 253 nt
Filed under: uncultured bacterium
Lineage: Bacteria
Description: partial 16S ribosomal RNA
Rfam family: Bacterial small subunit ribosomal RNA
Source: RNAcentral